This 24-nucleotide small nuclear RNA is filed under the name Arabidopsis thaliana (thale cress). RNAcentral describes it as "snRNA_12384". The record is from RNAcentral. Lineage: Eukaryota; Viridiplantae; Streptophyta; Magnoliopsida; Brassicales; Brassicaceae.
CCACAACCAUCACCACCACUACCA